RNAcentral lists this ribosomal RNA (461 nucleotides) under Acmella minima. RNAcentral describes it as "Paludinella minima partial 16S ribosomal RNA". It matches the Rfam family "Bacterial large subunit ribosomal RNA", at positions 1813 to 2551 of the family's 2925-position model. The record is from RNAcentral. Lineage: Eukaryota; Metazoa; Mollusca; Gastropoda; Littorinimorpha; Assimineidae.
ACAUCGCUCUUUGAAAAUUUUAUAUAAAGAGUCGAACCUGCCCAGUGAAUAUUUUUAACGGCCGCAGUACCCUGACUGUGCAAAGGUAGCAUAAUCACUUGCCUUAUAAUUGAAGGCUAGUAUGAAUGGUUUGACAAGAGUAAAGCUGUCUCUAUAGAAUUUAUUAGAAUUUGGUGUUUAGGUGAAGAAACUUAAAUAGAAUUGAAAGACAAGAAGACCCUAUCGAGCUUUAAAAUAAAAUUUUUAAAAAUAUUUGGUUCUAAAUUUAUUUUAAUAAUAUUUUUUUGGUUGGGGCGACUGAGGAACAAUAGAAGCUUCCUUAUUAAAAGUAGGCUGUUAGUUUUGAUCCAAUAAAUUGAUUGCAAGAAAUAGUUACCGUAGGGAUAACAGCAUAAUCUUUUUUGAGAGUUCUUAUCGAAAAAAUGGUUUGUGACCUCGAUGUUGGACUAGGAUAUCCUGAG